This 85-nucleotide transfer RNA is filed under the name Zooshikella ganghwensis. Its description in RNAcentral is "tRNA-Leu". It matches the Rfam family "tRNA". From Rfam's summary of the family: Transfer RNA (tRNA) molecules are approximately 80 nucleotides in length. Their secondary structure includes four short double-helical elements and three loops (D, anti-codon, and T loops). Lineage: Bacteria; Pseudomonadati; Pseudomonadota; Gammaproteobacteria; Oceanospirillales; Zooshikellaceae. The record is from RNAcentral. RNAcentral also lists the same sequence under 2 other names.
GCGGAAGUGGUGAAAUUGGUAGACACGCUGGAUUUAGGUUCCAGUGCCGAAAGGUGUGAGAGUUCGAGUCUCUCCUUCCGCACCA